This 370-nucleotide RNase P RNA is filed under the name Chlorobiota bacterium. RNAcentral's name for it is "RNase P RNA component class A". It matches the Rfam family "Bacterial RNase P class A". From Rfam's summary of the family: Ribonuclease P (RNase P) is a ubiquitous endoribonuclease, found in archaea, bacteria and eukarya as well as chloroplasts and mitochondria. Lineage: Bacteria; Pseudomonadati; Chlorobiota. The record is from RNAcentral.
AGGAAAGCUCAGGCAGCCGCUCCAAUUAUUUUUGGGGAGGAAAGUCCGAACACUCAAGAGCAUGGUGCCCUGAGAAAUCAGGGGUGCCCCCGAUGAAAAGACGGGGCAACGGAAAGUGUCACAGAAAAUAAACUACCUUGAGCAAUCAGGGGAAAGGUGAAAAGGCGGUGUAAGAGACCACCGGUUCAUGCAGUAAUGCGUGAAUGCAAGACAAACCCCGCCGGAGUGCAAUGCCGCGUAUAGUAACGACGUUUCGCUUUGCGAAGCAAGAGGGCUGCUCGUCCGAUGUUACAGGGUUGGCAGCGUCAGAUAAAUGGCUGCAGGCCUGCUUCCGCAGGUUACAGAAUUCGGCUUAUGGGCUUUCCGUUUU